UACGAAGGGUGCAAACGUUGCUCGGAAUUAUUGGGCGUAAAGCGCACGUAGGCGGCUUUUCAAGUCCCAUGUGAAAGCCCACGGCUUAACCGUGGAAGUGCAUGGGAAACUGGAAAGCUUGAGUACUUAAGAGGAUCGCGGAAUUCCCGGUGUAGAGGUGGAAUUCGUAGAUAUCGGGAGGAACACCAGUGGCGAAGGCGGCGAUCUGGGAAGAUACUGACGCUGAGGUGCGAAAGCGUGGGGAGCAAACAGG
RNAcentral lists this ribosomal RNA (253 nucleotides) under uncultured bacterium. RNAcentral describes it as "partial 16S ribosomal RNA". It matches the Rfam family "Bacterial small subunit ribosomal RNA", at positions 524 to 776 of the family's 1533-position model. The record is from RNAcentral.